RNAcentral lists this ribosomal RNA (253 nucleotides) under uncultured bacterium. Its description in RNAcentral is "partial 16S ribosomal RNA". It matches the Rfam family "Bacterial small subunit ribosomal RNA", at positions 524 to 776 of the family's 1533-position model. The record is from RNAcentral.
UACGAAGGAUUCGAGCGUUAUCCGGAUUUAUUGGGUCUAAAGGGUGCGUAGGCGGACUGAUAAGUCAGUGGUGAAAUCCUGUUGCUUAACAACAGAACUGCCAUUGAUACUGCCAGUCUUGAGUACAGUUGAGGUAGGCGGAAUGUGUCAUGUAGUGGUGAAAUACUUAGAUAUGACACAGAACACCGAUUGCGAAGGCAGCUUGCUAAACUGUAACUGACGCUGAGGCACGAAAGCAUGGGGAGCAAACAGG